GCAAUGCCGCGUGAGUGAAGAAGGCCUUCGGGUUGUAAAGCUCUUUUGUCAGGGAAGAAAAGGGUGCGGCUAAUAUCUGCGCCUCAUGACGGUACCUGAAGAAUAAGCACCGGCUAACUACGUGCCAGCAGCCGCGGUAAUACGUAGGGUGCAAGCGUUAAUCGGAAUUACUGGGCGUAAAGCGUGCGCAGGCGGUUUUGUAAGACUGUCGUGAAAUCCCCGGGCUCAACCUGGGAAUGGCGAUGGUGACUGCAAGGCUAGAGUUUGGCAGAGGGGGGUAGAAUUCCACGUGUAGCAGUGAAAUGCGUAGAUAUGUGGAGGAACACCGAUGGCGAAGGCAGCCCCCUGGGUCAAAACUGACGCUCAUGCACGAAAGCGUGGGGAGCAAACAGGAUUAGAUACCCUGGUAGUCCACGCCCUAAACGAUGUCUACUAGUUGUCGGGUCUUAAUUGACUUGGUAACGCAGCUAACGCGUGAAGUAGACCGCCUGGGGAGUACGGUCGCAAGAUUAAAACUCAAAGGAAUUGACGGGGACCCGCACAAGCGGUGGAUGAUGUGGAUUAAUUCGAUGCAACGCGAAAAACCUUACCUACCCUUGACAUGGAUGGAAUCUUCGAGAGA
Molecule: ribosomal RNA, 622 nt
Filed under: Oxalobacteraceae bacterium So2Ps_1708
Lineage: Bacteria; Pseudomonadati; Pseudomonadota; Betaproteobacteria; Burkholderiales; Oxalobacteraceae
Description: bacterial SSU rRNA
Rfam family: Bacterial small subunit ribosomal RNA
Source: RNAcentral